UUUAUGUAUUGUUUAUCAACAUGAUGCAUUGCAAGUUUGCUCCUGCACAUGAUUUGCUUCUUGUUUACAUUCAUUUGACAGUUAUCUUGAGGAAAAAAUUAUUUGACUUUUAUAUUAAUGUUAUUGCAUUUUCUUUACAGGCAUGAUAGGGAUUGUAGAUUACACAAACUAUGAUGAUAUGAAAUAUGUUCUAUCUUAACUUGGAAGAUAAGGAAGCUUGAUGACUCUGAGUUUCGAAAUCCAUUUAGCCAGGCUUACAUGCGGGUAUGUUUAGAUGCAUUUUAAGUCUUAGAUCUAUGCUUCUGCGACAUUACUUGAUAGCGUAUCUAACUGUCUUUUUUUUCAGGUGGAGUAUGAUUCAAGAUAUGAUUCUAGGCGCAGCUACUUUAGAAGUCCUAGUCGUAGCCCAUAUAGUCGAAACCCUAAUCUAGAAUUGAAUCUAUCAAUCCUUUUUCAACAGUUAAUUCUGCCCAUUUGCAAACAUAUUCUAUCAUUGUAACAUGCUUACGCAUAUCUGCUGGCUGGUUUAUUUUAUCUCAGCUGUAUUUAGAUAACUUGAUUCCCUUAAAUUAUAAUAGGGUGAAACUAUGGAGAUGAGUCUUGCGAGACUGGUUCCCUUGACGAAGAAAUCGAACUAGUAAAGCAAUGCGGGGGAAUCGAAAGGGUAGAAGAGUUGGAAAAAGAGAAGGCUGAUAUUGCAAUCAAGAGUCUCCAAGGUCUUCCUCAAAGCGGUUUCCAGUUAGGGCUUAAAGAUAUGGUGAUGUUUAAUCUAGAAAGGAUUGAUUAGUUUAACUAAUCCAAAAUAAGCAGCAUGAUACAUGACAGAUAAACAUGCCAUGAAGUUGAAGCCUGUACUAAUAUAGAACAACUUUCUUAGGAUAUUAAUUGGUUCCUUGUCUCUGGUUGUAUAUUCAUACAAGGCUUUGAGCUUUGACUUGAGCUCCUAGUUUCAAUGUCUUCAAAUUGUACAUUUGUCUGAGAAAAAAUAAUUUCUCUGUUAAAUUAAAUUGAUGAACAAUAAAAUUUUUGUGGUCAUCAAUAUUAAGCUAAUAAACUUCCAUUAUGCAUACAAGGAAAACCUAUGUUAUAGGGGUUUCCCUUUUUCUUCUUAAAGUUUUUCUUCUUAAAGUAUUUGUGUUUGAUGUUUAUCUGAAAAAGUGUGAAUAGACUUUGGUUGUUUUCAAUUUAUGAUGUUAAUAUUCUAGCUUAAUAAUUGAGUAUUAUUAUAUAUUUAAUUUGAUUUAUUUAUUUAUAAACAAAUCAUUGUAAUAUAUGUAAAAUAAUUUAAAAUAUAAAUUUAUUAAUAUAUAUAAAUUUAUUAAUAUAUGUAAAGCCAAUUUUUUCGAAAAAUAUUUUCGAAAAUCACCAAACAAUAGAAAAUAUUUUACACAGAUUCAUCCAAACACCAGAAAAGUAAAUCAUUUCCAGAAAAGUAAAUCAUUUUUCAGAAAUCAUUUUUCGGAAAACAUUUUACUGCAAACAAACAGAGCCUUAAUUCAUAACCGCAAAUAAAAACAUCUCAAAGUUAGUAUAACCAUAAGAAAUAAGAAACUUAUAAAAACUUCAAAGAAAAUAAAAGGAGAUAUUCAAUCUUUGUAACACCCCUUACCCGUAUUCAACUCCGGAAUAGGGUAUGAGGCAUUACUAGAACACUUACACAUGUAAACGUAUUAAACUGAGUUACAAAAUUUCAUUCAAAUUUAAACUCUUCAAAUUUUUAACAUGCUUUUAUAAUUCUUUAUAACAUAUCCUCAAAAUAUUAUAUUCAUAACAA
Molecule: RNA transcript, 1774 nt
Organism: Gossypium raimondii (Peruvian cotton)
Lineage: Eukaryota; Viridiplantae; Streptophyta; Magnoliopsida; Malvales; Malvaceae
Gene name: serine/arginine-rich splicing factor SR34A-like
Exons: 2
Source: RefSeq, a predicted model, not a curated record